AGAGCGAACGCUGGCGGCAGGCCUAACACAUGCAAGUCGAGCGCCCGUAGCAAUACGGGAGCGGCAGACGGGAUAGUAACACGUGGGAACGCGCCCUUCGGUUCGGAAUAACUCAGGGAAACUUGAGCUAAUACCGAAUACGCCCUUACGGGGAAAGAUUUAUUGCCGAAGGAACGGCCCGCGUCCGAUUAGCUAGUUGGUGAGGUAAUGGCUCACCAAGGCUACGAUCGGUAGCUGGUCUGAGAGGAUGACCAGCAUCACUGGGACUGAGACACGGCCCAGACUCCUACGGGAGGCAGCAGUGGGGAAUAUUGGACAAUGGGCGAAAGCCUGAUCCAGCCAUGCCGCGUGGAUGAUGAAGGCCUUAGGGUUGUAAAGUCCUUUUAACGGGGAAGAUAAUGACGGUACCCGUAGAAUAAGCCCGGCUAACUUCGUGCCAGCAGCCGC
This 447-nucleotide ribosomal RNA is filed under the name uncultured bacterium. RNAcentral describes it as "SSU rRNA". It matches the Rfam family "Bacterial small subunit ribosomal RNA", at positions 26 to 518 of the family's 1533-position model. The record is from RNAcentral.